UGGGGAAUAUUGGGCAAUGGGGGCAACCCUGACCCAGCAACGCCGCGUGAAGGAAGAAGGCCUUCGGGUUGUAAACUUCUUUGACCAGGGACGAAGAAAGUGACGGUACCUGGAAAACAAGCCACGGCUAACUACGUGCCAGUAGCCGCGGUAAUACGUAGGUGGCAAGCGUUGUCCGGAUUUACUGGGUGUAAAGGGCGCGUAGGCGGGAUUGCAAGUCAGAUGUGAAAUGCUGGGGCUUAACCCUGGAACUGCAUUUGAAACUGUGAUUCUUGAGUAUCGGAGAGGCAGGCGGAAUUCCUAGUGUAGCGGUGAAAUGCGUAGAUAUUAGGAGGAACACCAGUGGCGAAGGCGGCCUGCUGGACGACAACUGACGCUGAGGCGCGAAAGCGUGGGGAGCAAACA
This 405-nucleotide ribosomal RNA is filed under the name uncultured prokaryote. RNAcentral describes it as "bacterial SSU rRNA". It matches the Rfam family "Bacterial small subunit ribosomal RNA", at positions 355 to 774 of the family's 1533-position model. The record is from RNAcentral.